Molecule: long non-coding RNA, 623 nt
Organism: Clarias gariepinus (North African catfish)
Lineage: Eukaryota; Metazoa; Chordata; Actinopteri; Siluriformes; Clariidae
Exons: 4
Source: RefSeq, a predicted model, not a curated record
AGACAUUGCUGUUGGCUAUCCCAUCUCCCAACCCACUGUUAUAUAUAUUUAAUUUCUUUUUAUAUCAGAGUUGGUCCUGACUGCCCUGAGGCCCUAUGCAAAAUCCGGUAAAGGGGGCCCCCUACCUGACUUGUCUGGUAUAGUUGCCGCACAGCAUGGCGUAUCCAAGAGAAGUUCAUCAAUCUUAGCAGCAGCCAUCCAAUGAAACAGAAACAAGAACGAGAGAUUAAGUGAAGAGCAGAGGGAUGAGAACAGCAGGGAUCUGCAAACUUUGUGAUGAAUGUUUAAGUUUGGCACCUAUGAUGGAUGAGCACCGAAUGGUGUUUGUCACAGUCGCAACACUCUUUCUGGGCUGCGUAUCUAUUCUACAAUGCUAGCGCAGCACACGUAGCCUAGCGUGCUUAACAGUUCUGUUCUAUUAAAGCUGUUGUUUCCUCUCAUUUGCAGAUGAGUAAUGUGUAAAAGUGAUACUAAUGUGAACUGUUUUUGUUUUUAGUUAGCUAGACAAUAAGGAAUGAGCUAAGCAGUUACACUUCUGAAGCGCUAGAUGAACUUAAAUAAAAUGGAUACAAAUUCCAACUUUAAAAUCUGCGCACAAAUAUGUUGCAUUAAAAUGUUGCCAC